CCUACGGGUGGCAGCAGUGAGGAAUAUUGGUCAAUGGACGAGAGUCUGAACCAGCCAAGUAGCGUGAAGGAUGACUGCCCUAUGGGUUGUAAACUUCUUUUAUAUGGGAAUAAAAUGUUCCACGUGUGGGAUUUUGUAUGUACCAUAUGAAUAAGGAUCGGCUAACUCCGUGCCAGCAGCCGCGGUAAUACGGAGGAUCCGAGCGUUCUCCGGAUUUAUUGGGUUUAAAGGGAGCGUAGGUGGAUUGUUAAGUCAGUUGUGAAAGUUUGGGGCUCAACCGUAAAAUUGCAGUUGAAACUGGCAGUCUUGAGUACGGGAGAGGUGUGCGGAAUUCGGGGUGUAGCGGUGAAAUGCUUAGAUAUCACGAAGAACUCCGAUUGCGAAGGCAGUUCACUGGACUGCAACUGACGCUGAGGCUCGAAAGUGUGGGUAUCAAACAGGAUUAGAUACCCGGGUAGUC
RNAcentral lists this ribosomal RNA (460 nucleotides) under uncultured bacterium. RNAcentral's name for it is "partial 16S ribosomal RNA". It matches the Rfam family "Bacterial small subunit ribosomal RNA", at positions 338 to 795 of the family's 1533-position model. The record is from RNAcentral.